GCCGGGAUGGCGGAAUUGGUAGACGCGCCGGAUUCAAAAUCCGGUGAUGGUGACAUUGUGUGGGUUCGAGUCCCACUCUCGGUACCA
RNAcentral lists this transfer RNA (87 nucleotides) under Rickettsiella sp. Its description in RNAcentral is "tRNA-Leu". It matches the Rfam family "tRNA". Rfam says of the family: Transfer RNA (tRNA) molecules are approximately 80 nucleotides in length. The record is from RNAcentral. Lineage: Bacteria; Pseudomonadati; Pseudomonadota; Gammaproteobacteria; Legionellales; Coxiellaceae.